GGCUCACACAUGCGCACUAAGAGGCAAAAUGGCAGUCUUUAACUGUUGACAUGACCUCCUUGGAACAUUCAGACUGAGAACUACCUGUAAUUUGAGCGAAAAAAAUCUUCUUUUGGAAACUCCUUAAGAUAUAGUCUGCCUUACUGCACGCUAUUGAGAUAUAGUAUCUGGAAACGUUGAACAGAUCACUGAUGCUCUUUUCAUUUCUGGAGGCUGGAGAGUCCAAGGUCAGGAGGCUACAUCUGCUUGGCAUCUGUUGGUUGGAAUGUGGGUAUGGUUGCUGGAGGUGAAAUAGAAAUUCUGAACCAGGAGCACAUUUUGGAAAUGAGGUCACCACUGCACAACAACAGAGUAAAAGAAGUCUGUGUCCUGAAACCGAGAAACACCAUUCCAGUCCUGUAGCUCCUGCCUUAUUUUAACAAGAGACAGAAAGAAAUUCCUAUUUUACCUAAGGCCCUGUUAGUUUGAGCUUUCUCUAACUUUUGGCUGAUACUUAGCAAUCAGCAAGAAACUUUAUGAUUUUGUUUUUGCUCCUAGGUCUACCUGAAUGAAGGAAAAAGACUGUCCCGCGUAUUAAUUUCAACUAGAAAAGAGAUAAAGCGAAUUAAUUUUAAAAAUAUUUCUACUAACCUCUAGAUUCAGAAUAUACAUUCACAGCAGGCUGAUUUAUGCUGUGAUAAGAAGCAAUCUCCAAGUUUCCGUGGCUCAACGCAAUAAAUGUAUACCUAACUCUAAAAAAAAAAAAAAA
RNAcentral lists this long non-coding RNA (748 nucleotides) under Homo sapiens (human). Its description in RNAcentral is "long independently transcribed non-coding RNA 2262 (LINC02262)". Lineage: Eukaryota; Metazoa; Chordata; Mammalia; Primates; Hominidae. The record is from RNAcentral.